UAACCUUUGACAUCCUUAUCCUCCUAGUAACCGAGAGGUUGCAUUAAGAAAAAUGAUGAUUUGGCAAGAAAGAAGAAAGUAAUUUAGUCUCGUGAGAUGUAGUAACUAACUAAAUGGUAUGAAAUGAACUGAGCAGUACUGUUCUACUAGAAAAGAGGAAAAAAAAACAAGGCGAUGGUAAAGUGAACGAAGGGUCGGACGUUAUCGCGGAAAAACUAUAAAGAGGGAAAUUUGACAUGAUAGCAAUGUUAGAGUUGAAGCAUAAUCCUUGUUGUGCGUUAGGAAGUACGAAGAAAGGAUGGAUUAAGACAGAAGUCGGAAAUUCUUUUUUUUUCUCACAAACAAGAGAUUUUCCCGACUUUGAACAAGAGAUAGACGAUGGAAAGAAAGAUGAAUUAAAAAGUAAAAAAAAAUACAAUUCGGUCAAUCAAAAUGUACUUUAUUUGAGUUGAUAUGACGAGUAAACGAAUUGAAAUCAACGAUGUAUUUCAUUCUCACGCCAGUAAAAACACAAAUAAAUAGCAAAACCCAAAAAAUCAAAUAAGAAAAACUCCCCUAAAGAAAAAACUAAAGUAAUAAAAUAAUUGACAAAUCCAAAAAAGAAGGUUUCUAUCGGAUUUCGCCUUGGUUUCGCCUUUUGUUCAUUUCCAUUAAAGCUUCUAUACGGUACUAUUGUAGCGCUCUGUCUCGCUUUUGUCUACUUCACAGGGGGAAAGGAAGUAUGGGAGGAUGUAGAAAAAAAAAAUCAAUCCACUUCAUCUAAAAUCAGCGAAAUCAUUUGCUUCUCCUCUCCGUAUGUUUGGUAAGAAGGUUCAGCAAUGGCAGUUGGAUUCGGAUUGGAUGUCAACGAAUUUAAACAUUCUGAUAGAAUGGCGGGCGACAAAAGAUGCACUGCAAUUUCAGGGUGAAAGGUGUUUCUGCAGAAGCGAGCGAUUAAACGAUCCGAUCCGGAAGAAAAUAUUACCUAUUAAGAAAUAUUCUCCGGAUUCGUUGAAGAGGCAAUUAAAAAGAGGGAUUGAGAGGCAAACGAAAUUGCUCCGGAAAUCAUAAAAUUACUUUACGCAAACCAAAAAAAAAAGACAACAAAGGCGAAUUGUACUAUUACAAUUGUUCCUUUGCUGUCUUAAGUUUCUUUGCCCUCUUCACCAAGCUAUGGUGUCUAAUUUGCCUCUGUAUACUUUUAUUCUUUCGGCCCCGUCAAGAUCACGAACGAUUGUCUUUGCACUCAAAAGUAAACAUUUCUACUGGGAGUCACAACAAAUGGACAGAUUCGCCGAGCAGGAGAAAUUCAACAAGUGUCCCGCUGGGAAUGCUAACGGAAAAAUAGAGGCUUCGUCGCAAUGAAUUCGAAAACACAGUUGAUCUUCAUGUUCAUCUCAUCUCUAUGCGACUGAAAGCUAUUAGGGAUGGAUAGGGAAUAAUCUCUCUAAGCCGCGUUUUGUUGCUAUAUUGCCUCAUCUUUUCAUUCACUCAGACUCGUUGGCUAUUUCUUUAGGAAAGGGCAUGGCCCUAGAUGGUAUAGCAUACUGGAGUCCUAGGUAAAUAUCUCUUGGAUUUGUGUGUUAAAGAGUGCUAGGAUGUAAAGGAUAGUUUAACUUUUUUGUAUUUAAAAACUAUUUUCUAUCUAAUUUCCAUCUAUAAGUUUUCAUACAUACAAUUCAAUUUUAAUUAUUAUUAUUAUUUUGCUUCUCCUUCUCAUUGCCCUUACUCAUUACACCCUGUUCAUUCCUUUCACUCCACCCUUCUCCUCUCCUCUACUCCUCUACUCCUCGUCGCAACUAUCAUCCUUCGUUUUCAUUACCCUACCCUAUGUUGUUAUUACGCGCCACUGCGCUUCGCAGUUUGUCAUUAUCAAAGCGUAUCGCGAAUGACCCUUUUUUGUCAGGACGGGAAGCAUAGCGUUACGUAAUUUUUCCUCUUUGCUUCGGACCUUUCAUUAUGUCAGGCAUGUGACGUUUGGUAUCACCUUUGCUUUGGGUUGACCAAGUGUAGUGUUUUUACGUCAUUUGGUACGGCUGCUAUGGCGUAUGGGCUCAUACAUAAAUACUUAGCUUCCCGCUCUUCUCUUUUACCAACACCGU
Molecule: long non-coding RNA, 2081 nt
Filed under: Schizosaccharomyces pombe (fission yeast)
Lineage: Eukaryota; Fungi; Ascomycota; Schizosaccharomycetes; Schizosaccharomycetales; Schizosaccharomycetaceae
Description: non-coding RNA, possible alternative UTR
Source: RNAcentral